RNAcentral lists this ribosomal RNA (350 nucleotides) under uncultured bacterium. RNAcentral's name for it is "bacterial SSU rRNA". It matches the Rfam family "Bacterial small subunit ribosomal RNA", at positions 1 to 334 of the family's 1533-position model. The record is from RNAcentral.
CUAUGCGCCUUGCCAGCCCGCUCAGUCAGAGUUUGAUCCUGGCUCAGGAUCAACGCUGGCGGCGUGCCUAAUGCAUGCAAGUCGAACGGGGUUGCCUUCGGGCGGCUCACGUGGCGGACGGGUGAGGAACACGUGGCCAAUCUGCCCAGCGGCAGGGGGUAGCCCGCGGAAACGCGGGGUAAUUCCGUAUGUGCGUCGUCCCCGAGUGGGGGGAUGACGGAAAGGCGCAAGCCGUCGCUGGAGGAGGCUGCGGCCGAUUAGCUAGCUGGUGGGGUAACGGCCUACCAGGCGAUGAUCGGUAGCUGGUCUGAGAGGAUGAUCAGCCACACGGGGACUGAGACACGGCCCCG